CCUUGUUUGAUCCUGCCGGACCUGACUGCUAUCGGAUUGGUACUAAGCCAUGCGAGUCGUUGUAGCAAUACAAGGCGGACGGCUCAGUAACACGUAGUCAACCUAACCUAUGGACGUGGAUAACCUCGGGAAACUGAGAAUAAACCGCGAUAGAUCAUUAUGCCUGGAAUGGCUUAUGGUUCAAACAAUUUAUUGCCGUAGGAUGGGACUGCGGCCUAUCAGCUUGUUGGUGAGGUAAUGGCCCACCAAGGCUAUAACAGGUACGGGCUCUGAGAGGAGAAGCCCGGAGAUGGGUACUGAGACACGGACCCAGGCCCUAUGGGGCGCAGCAGGCGAGAAACCUUAGCAAUGUGCGAAAGCACGACUAGGUUAAUCCGAGUGAUUUCUGUUGAAGAAAUCUUUUGUCAGUCGUAAAACCACAGACGAAUAAGGGGUGGGCAAGUCUGGUGUCAGCCGCCGCGGUAAUACCAGCACCUCGAGUGGUCAGGAGGUUUAUUGGGCCUAAAGCAUCCGUAGCCGGCUACGCAAGUCUCCGGUUAAAUCCAGCUGCUCAACAGAUGGGCUGCCGGAGAUACUACAUAGCUAGGGAGCGGGAGAGGUAGACGGUAUUCUGUGGGUAGGGGUAAAAUCCACUGAUCCAUAGAGGACCACCAGUGGCGAAGGCGGUCUACCAGAACGCGUUCGACGGUGAGGGAUGAAAGCUGGGGGAGCAAACCGGAUUAGAUACCCGGGUAGUCCCAGCUGUAAACGAUGCAAACUCGGUGAUGCAUUGGCUUAUGGCCAAUGCAGUGCCGCAGGGAAGCCGUUAAGUUUGCCGCCUGGGAAGUACGGACGCAAGUCUGAAACUUAAAGGAAUUGGCGGGGGAGCA
RNAcentral lists this ribosomal RNA (869 nucleotides) under uncultured archaeon. RNAcentral's name for it is "bacterial SSU rRNA". It matches the Rfam family "Archaeal small subunit ribosomal RNA", at positions 1 to 878 of the family's 1478-position model. The record is from RNAcentral.